This 106-nucleotide ribosomal RNA is filed under the name Carlito syrichta (Philippine tarsier). Lineage: Eukaryota; Metazoa; Chordata; Mammalia; Primates; Tarsiidae. The record is from RNAcentral.
UAUGACCAUACCACUCUGAAUGCGCUCAAUCUUGUCUGAUCUCAGAAGCAAAGCAGGGUUAGUCCUGGUUAGUACUUGGAGGGAAAAAGGCUGGUAAGCAUCAUUU